Molecule: ribosomal RNA, 406 nt
Filed under: uncultured bacterium
Lineage: Bacteria
Description: partial 16S ribosomal RNA
Rfam family: Bacterial small subunit ribosomal RNA
Source: RNAcentral
AUUGAACGCUGGCGGCAGGCCUAACACAUGCAAGUCGAACGAGUGGCGGACGGGUGAGUAAUGUCUGGGUAUCUCCCAGAUGGAGGGGGAUAUCCACUGGACACUGUAGCUAAUACCGCAUACCCUCAGCUGUCCCCAUGUGGGAUUGGCUUGUGGGUGGGGUAACGGCUCACCAAGGCGACGAUCCCUAGCUGGUCUGAGAGGAUGACCAGCCACACUGGAACUGAGACACGGUCCAGACUCCUACGGGAGGCAGCAGUGGGGAAUAUUGCACAAUGGGCGCAAGCCUGAUGCAGCCAUGCCGCGUGUAUGAAGAAGGCCCUCGGGUUGUAAAGUACUUUCAGUGGGGAGGCGUUACCCACAGAAGAAGCACCGGCUAACUCCGUGCCAGCAGCCGCGGUAAUAC